Molecule: ribosomal RNA, 499 nt
Filed under: uncultured Glomus
Lineage: Eukaryota; Fungi; Glomeromycota; Glomeromycetes; Glomerales; Glomeraceae
Also listed under: 1 other name
Description: SSU rRNA
Rfam family: Eukaryotic small subunit ribosomal RNA
Source: RNAcentral
CCAAUAGCGUAUAUUAAAGUUGUUGCAGUUAAAAAGCUCGUAGUUGAAUUUCGGGAUCAAUAUGUUGGUCGUGCCUUGGUACGUACUGGCAUUAUUGGUUCCUACCUUCUGAAGAACCUCGAUGUCAUUAAUUUGGUGUCUUGGGGAAUCAGGACUGUUACUUUGAAAAAAUUAGAGUGUUUAAAGCAGGCUCGCGCUUGAAUACAUUAGCAUGGAAUAAUGAAAUAGGACGUUUGAUUCUAUUUUGUUGGUUUCUAGGAUCGACGUAAUGAUUAAUAGGGAUAGUUGGGGGCAUUAGUAUUCAAUUGUCAGAGGUGAAAUUCUUGGAUUUAUUGAAGACUGACUACUGCGAAAGCAUUUGCCAAGGAUGUUUUCAUUAAUCAAGAACGAAAGUUAGGGGAUCGAAGACGAUCAGAUACCGUCGUAGUCUUAACCAUAAACUAUGCCGACUAGGGAUCGGAUGAUGUUAAUUUUUUAAUGACUCAUUCGGCGCCUUACG